UACGUAGGGCGCAAGCGUUGUCCGGAAUUAUUGGGCGUAAAGAGCUCGUAGGCGGUUUGUCACGUCGGCUGUGAAAACCCGAGGCUCAACCUCGGGCCUGCAGUCGAUACGGGCAGACUAGAGUGCUGUAGGGGAGACUGGAAUUCCUGGUGUAGCGGUGAAAUGCGCAGAUAUCAGGAGGAACACCGGUGGCGAAGGCGGGUCUCUGGGCAGUAACUGACGCUGAGACGCGAAAGCGUGGGGAGCGAACAGG
Molecule: ribosomal RNA, 253 nt
Filed under: uncultured bacterium
Lineage: Bacteria
Description: partial 16S ribosomal RNA
Rfam family: Bacterial small subunit ribosomal RNA
Source: RNAcentral